CCUACGGGUGGCUGCAGUGGGGAAUAUUGCGCAAUGGGCGGAAGCCUGACGCAGCAACGCCGCGUGUGGGAAGAAGGUCUUCGGAUUGUAAACCACUGUCUAGGGGGACGAAGGACUGGGGGAGGCAAUGCCCCCGGGGUGACGGUACCCCUGGAGGAAGCCCCUGCUAACUACGUGCCAGCAGCCGCGGUAAUACGUAGGGGGCGAGCGUUGUCCGGAGUUAUUGGGCGUAAAGGGCGUGUAGGCGGCCUGUUAAGUCAGGUGUGAAAUUUCAGGGCUUAACCCUGAAACGGCGUUUGAAACUGGCAGGCUUGAGGACAGGAGAGGGAAGUGGAAUUCCCGGUGUAGCGGUGGAAUGCGUAGAUAUCGGGAGGAACACCAGUGGCGAAGGCGGCUUCCUGGACUGUACCUGACGCUGAGGCGCGAAAGCGAGGGGAGCAAACAGGAUUAGAUACCCCAGUAGUCAC
This 467-nucleotide ribosomal RNA is filed under the name uncultured Clostridia bacterium. RNAcentral's name for it is "bacterial SSU rRNA". It matches the Rfam family "Bacterial small subunit ribosomal RNA", at positions 338 to 797 of the family's 1533-position model. The record is from RNAcentral. Lineage: Bacteria; Bacillati; Bacillota; Clostridia.